Molecule: ribosomal RNA, 409 nt
Filed under: bacterium
Lineage: Bacteria
Description: partial 16S ribosomal RNA
Rfam family: Bacterial small subunit ribosomal RNA
Source: RNAcentral
UGGGGAAUAUUGCACAAUGGGCGAAAGCCUGAUGCAGCGACGCCGCGUGAGGGAUGACGGCCUUCGGGUUGUAAACCUCUUUCAGCAGGGACGAAGCGCAAGUGACGGUACCUGCAGAAGAAGCACCGGCUAACUACGUGCCAGCAGCCGCGGUAAUACGUAGGGUGCAAGCGUUGUCCGGAAUUACUGGGCGUAAAGACUUCGGAGGCGGUUUGUCUCGUCGUUGGUGAAAACCAGCAGCUCAACGGAUGGCUUGCAGUGGCUACGGGCAGGCUGGAGUACUGCAGAGGAGGCUGGAAUUCCUGGUGUAGCGGUGAAAUGCGCAGAUAUCAGGAGGAACACCGGUGGCGAAGGCGGGUCUCUGGGCAGUAACUGACGCUGAGGAACGGAAGCGUGGGUAGCGAAGAGG